GGCGUGCGGGGUGCUAUACAUGCAGUCGAGCGGACAGAAGGGAGCUUGCUCCCGGAUGUUAGCGGCGGACGGGUGAGUAACACGUGGGUAACCUGCCUGUAAGACUGGGAUAACUCCGGGAAACCGGAGCUAAUACCGGAUAGUUCCUUGAACCGCAUGGUUCAAGGAUGAAAGACGGUUUCGGCUGUCACUUACAGAUGGACCCGCGGCGCAUUAGCUAGUUGGUGAGGUAACGGCUCACCAAGGCGACGAUGCGUAGCCGACCUGAGAGGGUGAUCGGCCACACUGGGACUGAGACACGGCCCAGACUCCUACGGGAGGCAGCAGUAGGGAAUCUUCCGCAAUGGACGAAAGUCUGACGGAGCAACGCCGCGUGAGUGAUGAAGGUUUUCGGAUCGUAAAGCUCUGUUGUUAGGGAAGAACAAGUGCAAGAGUAACUGCUUGCACCUUGACGGUACCUAACCAGAAAGCCACGGCUAACUACGUGCCAGCAGCCGCGGUAAUACGUAGGUGGCAAGCGUUGUCCGGAAUUAUUGGGCGUAAAGGGCUCGCAGGCGGUUUCUUAAGUCUGAUGUGAAAGCCCCCGGCUCAACCGGGGAGGGUCAUUGGAAACUGGGAAACUUGAGUGCAGAAGAGGAGAGUGGAAUUCCACGUGUAGCGGUGAAAUGCGUAGAGAUGUGGAGGAACACCAGUGGCGAAGGCGACUCUCUGGUCUGUAACUGACGCUGAGGAGCGAAAGCGUGGGGAGCGAACAGGAUUAGAUACCCUGGUAGUCCACGCCGUAAACGAUGAGUGCUAAGUGUUAGGGGGUUUCCGCCCCUUAGUGCUGCAGCUAACGCAUUAAGCACUCCGCCUGGGGAGUACGGUCGCAAGACUGAAACUCAAAGGAAUUGACGGGGGCCCGCACAAGCGGUGGAGCAUGUGGUUUAAUUCGAAGCAACGCGAAGAACCUUACCAGGUCUUGACAUCCUCUGACACCCUAGAGAUAGGGCUUUCCCUUCGGGACAGAGUGACAGGGGUGCAUGAUGUCGUCAGCUCGUGUCGUGA
RNAcentral lists this ribosomal RNA (1047 nucleotides) under Bacillus sp. (in: firmicutes). Its description in RNAcentral is "bacterial SSU rRNA". It matches the Rfam family "Bacterial small subunit ribosomal RNA", at positions 34 to 1070 of the family's 1533-position model. Lineage: Bacteria; Bacillati; Bacillota; Bacilli; Caryophanales; Bacillaceae. The record is from RNAcentral.